Molecule: ribosomal RNA, 1375 nt
Filed under: uncultured bacterium
Lineage: Bacteria
Description: bacterial SSU rRNA
Rfam family: Bacterial small subunit ribosomal RNA
Source: RNAcentral
GACGAACGCUGGCGGCGUGCCUAAUACAUGCAAGUAGAACGCUGAAGAGAGGAGCUUGCUCUUCUUGGAUGAGUUGCGAACGGGUGAGUAACGCGUAGGUAACCUGCCUUGUAGCGGGGGAUAACUAUUGGAAACGAUAGCUAAUACCGCAUAACAAUGGAUGACACAUGUCAUUUAUUUGAAAGGGGCAAUUGCUCCACUACAAGAUGGACCUGCGUUGUAUUAGCUAGUAGGUGAGGUAACGGCUCACCUAGGCGACGAUACAUAGCCGACCUGAGAGGGUGAUCGGCCACACUGGGACUGAGACACGGCCCAGACUCCUACGGGAGGCAGCAGUAGGGAAUCUUCGGCAAUGGGGGCAACCCUGACCGAGCAACGCCGCGUGAGUGAAGAAGGUUUUCGGAUCGUAAAGCUCUGUUGUAAGUCAAGAACGAGUGUGAGAGUGGAAAGUUCACACUGUGACGGUAGCUUACCAGAAAGGGACGGCUAACUACGUGCCAGCAGCCGCGGUAAUACGUAGGUCCCGAGCGUUGUCCGGAUUUAUUGGGCGUAAAGCGAGCGCAGGCGGUUUGAUAAGUCUGAAGUUAAAGGCUGUGGCUCAACCAUAGUUCGCUUUGGAAACUGUCAAACUUGAGUGCAGAAGGGGAGAGUGGAAUUCCAUGUGUAGCGGUGAAAUGCGUAGAUAUAUGGAGGAACACCGGUGGCGAAAGCGGCUCUCUGGUCUGUAACUGACGCUGAGGCUCGAAAGCGUGGGGAGCGAACAGGAUUAGAUACCCUGGUAGUCCACGCCGUAAACGAUGAGUGCUAGGUGUUGGAUCCUUUCCGGGAUUCAGUGCCGCAGCUAACGCAUUAAGCACUCCGCCUGGGGAGUACGACCGCAAGGUUGAAACUCAAAGGAAUUGACGGGGGCCCGCACAAGCGGUGGAGCAUGUGGUUUAAUUCGAAGCAACGCGAAGAACCUUACCAGGUCUUGACAUCCCGAUGCUAUUUCUAGAGAUAGAAAGUUACUUCGGUACAUCGGUGACAGGUGGUGCAUGGUUGUCGUCAGCUCGUGUCGUGAGAUGUUGGGUUAAGUCCCGCAACGAGCGCAACCCCUAUUGUUAGUUGCCAUCAUUCAGUUGGGCACUCUAGCGAGACUGCCGGUAAUAAACCGGAGGAAGGUGGGGAUGACGUCAAAUCAUCAUGCCCCUUAUGACCUGGGCUACACACGUGCUACAAUGGUUGGUACAACGAGUUGCGAGUCGGUGACGGCAAGCUAAUCUCUUAAAGCCAAUCUCAGUUCGGAUUGUAGGCUGCAAACUCGCCUACAUGAAAGUUCGAAAUCGCUAGUAAUCGCGGAUCAGCUCGCCGCGGUGAAAUUACGUUUCCCGGGCCU